UACGUAGGGUGCAAGCGUUGUCCGGAAUUAUUGGGCGUAACGAGCUCGUAGGCGGUCUGUCGCGUCGGCUGUGAAAUCCCGGAGCUCAACUCCGGGUCUGCAGUCGAUACGGGCAAACUGGAGUACUGCAGGGGAGACUGGAAUUCACGGUGUAGCAGUGAAAUGCGUAGAUAUCGUGAGGAACACCAGAGGCGAAGGCGGCUACCUGGACAAUUGCUGACGCUCAGGUGCGAAAGCCAGGGGAGCGAACAGG
Molecule: ribosomal RNA, 253 nt
Filed under: uncultured bacterium
Lineage: Bacteria
Description: partial 16S ribosomal RNA
Rfam family: Bacterial small subunit ribosomal RNA
Source: RNAcentral